AAAGAGAAGAAGAAAC
RNAcentral lists this small RNA (16 nucleotides) under Arabidopsis thaliana (thale cress). Its description in RNAcentral is "ATSL144420". Lineage: Eukaryota; Viridiplantae; Streptophyta; Magnoliopsida; Brassicales; Brassicaceae. The record is from RNAcentral.